GAUAAACGCUGGCGGCGUGCCUAAUACAUGCAAGUCGAGCGAACGGACGAGAAGCUUGCUUCUCUGAUGUUAGCGGCGGACGGGUGAGUAACACGUGGAUAACCUACCUAUAAGACUGGGAUAACUUCGGGAAACCGGAGCUAAUACCGGAUAAUAUUUUGAACCGCAUGGUUCAAAAGUGAAAGACGGUCUUGCUGUCACUUAUAGAUGGAUCCGCGCUGCAUUAGCUAGUUGGUAAGGUAACGGCUUACCAAGGCAACGAUGCAUAGCCGACCUGAGAGGGUGAUCGGCCACACUGGAACUGAGACACGGUCCAGACUCCUACGGGAGGCAGCAGUAGGGAAUCUUCCGCAAUGGGCGAAAGCCUGACGGAGCAACGCCGCGUGAGUGAUGAAGGUCUUCGGAUCGUAAAACUCUGUUAUUAGGGAAGAACAUAUGUGUAAGUAACUGUGCACAUCUUGACGGUACCUAAUCAGAAAGCCACGGCUAACUACGUGCCAGCAGCCGCGGUAAUACGUAGGUGGCAAGCGUUAUCCGGAAUUAUUGGGCGUAAAGCGCGCGUAGGCGGUUUUUUAAGUCUGAUGCGAAAGCCCACGGCUCAACCGUGGAGGGUCAUUGGAAACUGGAAAACUUGAGUGCAGAAGAGGAAAGUGGAAUUCCAUGUGUAGCGGUGAAAUGCGCAGAGAUAUGGAGGAACACCAGUGGCGAAGGCGACUUUCUGGUCUGUAACUGACGCUGAUGUGCGAAAGCGUGGGGAUCAAACAGGAUUAGAUACCCUGGUAGUCCACGCCGUAAACGAUGAGUGCUAAGUGUUAGGGGGUUUCCGCCCCUUAGUGCUGCAGCUAACGCAUUAAGCACUCCGCCUGGGGAGUACGACCGCAAGGUUGAAACUCAAAGGAAUUGACGGGGACCCGCACAAGCGGUGGAGCAUGUGGUUUAAUUCGAAGCAACGCGAAGAACCUUACCAAAUCUUGACAUCCUUUGACAACUCUAGAGAUAGAGCCUUCCCCUUCGGGGGACAAAGUGACAGGUGGUGCAUGGUUGUCGUCAGCUCGUGUCGUGAGAUGUUGGGUUAAGUCCCGCAACGAGCGCAACCCUUAAGCUUAGUUGCCAUCAUUAAGUUGGGCACUCUAAGUUGACUGCCGGUGACAAACCGGAGGAAGGUGGGGAUGACGUCAAAUCAUCAUGCCCCUUAUGAUUUGGGCUACACACGUGCUACAAUGGACAAUACAAAGGGCAGCGAAACCGCGAGGUCAAGCAAAUCCCAUAAAGUUGUUCUCAGUUCGGAUUGUAGUCUGCAACUCGACUACAUGAAGCUGGAAUCGCUAGUAAUCGUAGAUCAGCAUGCUACGGUGAAUACGUUCCCGGGUCU
RNAcentral lists this ribosomal RNA (1372 nucleotides) under uncultured bacterium. Its description in RNAcentral is "bacterial SSU rRNA". It matches the Rfam family "Bacterial small subunit ribosomal RNA", at positions 28 to 1381 of the family's 1533-position model. The record is from RNAcentral.